Ochotona princeps (American pika) is the source of this 84-nucleotide small nuclear RNA. The record is from Ensembl. Lineage: Eukaryota; Metazoa; Chordata; Mammalia; Lagomorpha; Ochotonidae.
GUGCUCGCUUCAGCAGCGCGUGUACUAAAAUUGGAAAGAUACAGAGAAGAUCAGCAUGGUCCCUGAACAAGGGCGACAUGAAAA